Molecule: ribosomal RNA, 253 nt
Filed under: uncultured bacterium
Lineage: Bacteria
Description: partial 16S ribosomal RNA
Rfam family: Bacterial small subunit ribosomal RNA
Source: RNAcentral
AACGUAGACCUCAAGCGUUAUCCGGAUUUAUUGGGCGUAAAGAGCAUGUAGGGGGUUUUGCGCGUCUCCUGUUAAAGCCCACCGCCUAACGGUGGAAGUGCAGGAGAUACGGCGGAACUAGAGGAUGUUAGAGGUACCAGGAACGCACGGUGUAGGGGUGAAAUCCGUUGAUAUCGUGCGGAACACCAAAGGCGAAGGCAAGGUACUGGGACACUCCUGACCCUGAGAUGCGAAAGCGUGGGGAGCAAAAAGG